This 274-nucleotide ribosomal RNA is filed under the name uncultured bacterium. Its description in RNAcentral is "partial 16S ribosomal RNA". It matches the Rfam family "Bacterial small subunit ribosomal RNA", at positions 524 to 794 of the family's 1533-position model. The record is from RNAcentral.
UACGUAGGGUGCAAGCGUUAAUCGGAAUUACUGGGCGUAAAGCGUGCGCAGGCGGUUUUGUAAGUCUGACGUGAAAUCCCCGGGCUCAACCUGGGAAUUGCGUUGGAGACUGCAAGGCUAGAAUCUGGCAGAGGGGGGUAGAAUUCCGACGUGUGAGCAGUGAAAUGCGUAGAGAUGUGGAGGAACACCGAUGGCGAAGGCAGCCCCUGGGUCAAGAUUGACGCUCCAUGCACGAAGCGUGGGGACAACGAAGGAUAGUAGUACCGGGUCAAGA